This 17714-nucleotide long non-coding RNA is filed under the name Trifolium pratense (red clover). RNAcentral's name for it is "long non-coding RNA (TPRA_LNC003004)". The record is from RNAcentral. Lineage: Eukaryota; Viridiplantae; Streptophyta; Magnoliopsida; Fabales; Fabaceae.
AAAGUAUGGUUUGUCGAUUCAUCUCCAAAUCCAGUUCCUCAUGUGAAGAUGCACUUGAAUCCAUGGACAAUAGCGUAGAAGGGUGAUGAUUCUCCAUUGACAAAGAAGCAAAACAGCAGGAAUCGCCAAUGCUACCUCAUCAUCAUCAUCAUCUUGUUGAUGAGUUUCAUUGCUGGUUGAUACAAUAUUGCCAUCCCAAAAAUAAUUCAACAAAACAGUAACAUACUUAUAAACAACUUCAUCAUCAUCAUCAUAUCAAUCCCCACUAUAUCUCCCUUCCAUCAAACCCCUAUAUUUAUCAAUUCAAUUUGAGAAAAAAAACAAAAAACAAAUCAACAAAUCCAAACUAUUUAAAUUAAUGUAUUUUUCUUCUAUUUUCUUUAUAAAUCAAUAAAUAAACAUACUCAUCAACAAUAAACAUAACUAUAUAAAUAUCAAUAUAGGUAUGUAUGUAUAUAACAGUGAUAUUUCUCUUAAAUCUAUGCAAAUUUUGAAAAGAGAAUUAUAUUGAAGCCUCCAAAAUGAAUGAUAUCCAUAAAUCAGAAAUGAAAAAGAGAAGCUCUAUCAGAGAGAGAGAUCUUGAAGGAUUAUCAUAAUUACCUUUUAGGAUAAGCAUCAGAGAAUCGGGAAGAACAAGAACCACGAUAGAUGCGCCUCAUAUUAUCAUCGACAACCAUAUUUUCUAGGAAUGUUAAUUUUUACAUUAAUUUUAAUAUUAUUUUUUCCCAAAUGGAAAACCCUAAUUUUGGUGUUGGUGUUGUUCUUCUUAUAAGAAAGAAGGGUAUGAAAAAAGGAGAGAAGAAAGUAAUUUUAUUUUCUUUUUUAUUUAUUAGUGAAGAAAAGAAAAAGAAGAGUGAGAGAGAGAGGGAGAGAAGAAGAAGCGUAAAUGAGCGUAUGAUUAUAAGGAGAAGUUCGUAGGAUGAAGCCUUCACUGGAUAACACCAUCCAUCCUUCUUUCUUUUGGACCACACCGUUUGUUUACAGUGACGGUGCAUCUUCGUAUGUCUACUUUAUCAUAAUCAUCAUCGUAUAUUAAUUAUACUUAAGUCUUCAAUUUUAAUUUCUCUUCUCCAAUCACCAAUAAAAUUCCAUGUUAAAAAUGUCAACAAAAAAAAAAAUUCUUUUAUACCGCUCAAUAUUCCAAUUUUGUCCUUCCAAACAAUUUGAUUCGCAUAAAUCGAAUUUUUUCUAGAGCAAAUUCAAAGUAAAUUUCAAUUUUUAAAAACCGAAUUUUUUUUAUGGCAAGAAAAGAAUUCGAUUUCUAGAAACAUAUGCUCUAGUAAUGUGAAAUUGCGUACAUAAAAUAAUAUAAAAAGGCAAUGCUUAAUUUAUAACAAAAUUUAUAUCAUUUAAGUAAAAUGACGUAAUAAUAAAAUAUAUUUGAUGCAAUUAUGGAAAUUUUGCAAUAAACAUAUAAGAAAAUUAAGAUAAUCUUAACUUGCUUGCUAAGAAAAAUAAUUAUAUAUAUGAUACAUGUCAUGUUUUGUGUUUAAAAAUAUGAUUAUAUUGUUGAUAUAAAAAAAAUACAUGAUUAUAUUAUUUUAAAAUAUUUUACAAAGAGUAAAAAUGAAUUUUAGUUAAAUAAUAAGGGUAAAAGUUGGAAAAAAAUGAUAAAUUAUAUAUAAGCUAUAUGUUCAUAAACUAUUUAAAAUAGCGUCUGAAAAAUAAGCUACAAGUAAGUAAAGAAUAAUAAUUAUUUAAAAAAAUGUUGUGAUUCUUGUAAAGAAUUUUUAUUUUAGUUACUUGAAAUUUGUUUAUCUUCUUUCUAAAGAAACAAGAUAGGUGGAGGACGGGGACGGAUAGUAGUUCCAACGUAGUUGAAAUGUCUAUCCCACCCUGACAUUUGGAUACUCUUAAUUUAUAAAAAAAAAAAAAACAAUGAAAAAGAUUAUUAACACAUAAUAAUACUCAUACAUUUCAAUUUCAAUUUAACAACAAAAGUCAACACAUUUAUUUUCCUUCUUUUCACCAAAAUAUAAUACUAUCCAUACAUUUCUCUUAAGAAAAAUUUUCAUAACUACAUUUUAUUUCUAAUCAAAACAAAGAAUUAAAAAGACUCUUUUAUAUUUGAUAAUUAAAAAUAUUUAUAUAAUUUUCUUAUUUACUAACGGCAUGAAUAUCCUUGGAUAUGGAUACCAUUAAAUCCGCACUCGUAUCCAUUAACUAUAUUGUAGUUGAAAUAUCAAUUUAUUUUAUCCGUGGAUAUCCAUUAGACUAUCCGCUCCAUGUUUUUUGGCGGAUUUUAUCUGCUAAUACCGCAAUAACAGAUAUUUUUGUCAUCCCACUUGUAACACCCCAAAUUUUAGAAAUAAUCAUCUUAUUAUAAUAUGUUUGAUUUUAAUGCGAUUAUGUUUAUUGGGUUAUUUAACGGGAUAGAAGUGUUAAUUUAGUGAAAGAAAAAAAACAUAAAUUAGAAUUUAUUUAAUUUAACAAUUAAUUUUUUUUUUACAGCAUUUAACAAUUAAUGUUAGAAUGGAAUUCCUAUUCACACCACUUCCUACACCCUACUCUUCUACUAAUAGCACUAUUCUGUUUUCUAACAUUAUUUCUUUAAUUAGAGAGAUUAAAAGUGGAGGUGUGAAAAAGCCCAGUAGAAUUGGAGGGGUAUAGAAUAGUAAGUCUGUAGAAAAUAAUGAAAAUAGAAGAUAAGAGAUUAAUAUGACUUUGGGAGGAAGUCAACCUAAUUGAAUCUCUAUAAAUAGGUGUUAAAAGCAUAAAAUUAGGAUUAACGAUCACAACUCAAGAUUUUAGAAAGAAAAAAAUAAAACUCAUAAACUUAGAAACAAAAAUGAGAGGCACACUAGGAUUGGAGAGGAAGAACAUAAAGGGAUUCAAGCAAGGAAUUCAAAAACUUUAUGCAAAAAUUUAAGGUAGGGUAGGGGGUGCCUGAGUUCACAUAUAGGGCCGGAUAUUGACCACAAGAAUAGUAGAGGGGUCCUUGCCAUCCUUUCCUUUUCCCACGUGCUUUUGAACUAAUCUGUGAUAAUUUUGUUAGUGUUGUUGUGUCUAACUUGCAAUUUCGUUCUGUUUUUAAUGAUUAAAUUUCAUAUGAAUCGAUUCUAAAAUUUGAUGUCUUUGAGUUAAAAGUUGUUGUUGUUUUGAAGUUGUGUUUAUAAAAGUGAAUUUGUGAAUUUAAUAAUUCUAAUCACUAGUUUUACAAGAAUUAGUGUUUCUGAGAUAUAUUAGGCUGGCAUAAGUACUGAUUUCUUGGAAUUUUGAGACCAUCUGGGAUGAAGUACUUGGAGCCUUGGGUGGGUGAGGAUUCAGAGUCAAAAUCACGUCCACUACUCUAUUUUAUAUGGGUUCUGAAUUUGAGCGCUCACCUAGAGAGACUUUGGCUUGCCUAGCGAGCCUGUAUUUACUGGGCAUGGAUUUGAGUGUUCGCCUAGCAAGACUCUCCAGCCUGUAUUUUAUGGGCAAGAAUUUGAGUGCAAAAGAUGAUAUUUUUAGCUUCCAGAUCACGAUGUAAAAGAUGAUAUUUUGUAGAUUUUCACCUCAAAUUGUGUGUUUUUUUUAAAAAAAAUCUUGACGUAUUUUUCACUGAGUUUCAUUCCUAAGCUUUUACAUAAAUACUACUAAUUAUUACAUUUUAACUACUAAAAUUAUCCUAAAAGAAAUUAUACCAGAAGUGACAGAACAACUUAAAUUUCUACCAUUGACAUGUUGAUUAUUUUAUUUAGCGGCUAAGAUUUAAAAAGGGCAAAAAGGAGUUAAAAUCAAAUAUAUUUAUAUAUUUAUAUAAUAAUUAACUUAAAUAUCGAAUUAAAGUCGAUGCACUCGUGUCGCACGGGUCUUUCAACUAGUUUAUAAAUAAAAUGGUUCUUGACUAAUUUUUAUUUUUGCUGAAAUGUGAAAAAGAGAGAUCCACAUUUACAUCUUCUUCUCAACAAAUACCUAUUCAUUCUUCAUUUUUUUUUUUGCAACAAGUCUAUUUUACUACCACUACCAGUCUACCACCAUUCCAUAUUUUUUGAGUAUUAGUUGUAUGGGUUUUCUAAAAUGUAUUAUUUUUCUGCAAUUUUUAUGUGGAUAUUUUAAAUUUGAACACCCCUAAAAUACACUAGCCGAAAACAAUGGUGGAUAGUUUUUUUUGGUUACUUUAAAAUAUAAUAAGAAAAUGCUAAAUAGUGCAUUGAUGCACUCUUUAAACACCUUAAAUAGUAAAAUUUUGUGAAAUAUUUAUGAAAAUGUGUGAAGUCAACACAUUAAAAAUUUGAAUAUUUUACUAUUUGAAUAAAUAUUUUUUUUAAAUGAAAUCUUAAAGCAUAUUCCGGAAACAAUUGUUAACAAGACUCAAUAUAAUAAUGCAAUAGUCAAGAGAGAGGCAAGGCUCUUAAUAUUUUAAUAGGUUUCACCGCCACUGCUAGUAAGAAUUAGUAAUACUAAUAGGUCUUCCCACCUUAAACCUUCACCUAGUUUUAAAGGUGAGAAUUAUAAUAUGGCAAAUGUUAAUGAAGGUAUCCGUCACAUUUUUUAAGAUCUUAAAUAGUAUUUCCUCCUGUCCUAAGUAUAAGAAAAUUUUCAUUUUUUAGGUUCAUUAGAAAACCAAUGUAUUUUGAUUAUAUUAUAGUUUAGAUACAUUAGCAUUCCAAUGUACCUAAAAAGUAAAAGUUCUCUUAUAAUUAAGACUAGAGGAAGUACUCUUUGCUUUGGUACCCGCCUUGAUAUCUCAAUCUUGCAAGGCACGACAAGCAUUGGAACGAACUCCUAAGUUUUUAUGGAAAUGCGUAAAGUCAACGCAUUGGAAAUUAUAGUGUUUAAUUUUUUAAAUAAAAAAUUUCUUUAAAUAAAAUGCUUAAAUAGUAUCUCCAGGACAUUUGUUAACAAAACUAUUAUAAUAUUGAUGGAAAAUUGGUGCGUUUUGUUUCUAUGUUUGUCACUUGUUCCUAAUGAUGAGAAAUAAGUUGCUAGACUUAGUCAAAGGAAAUAUAAGACUAGUACUAAAGAUAUAGAUUAUUGUAGUGAAUGAAUUAAGAUAAUAGAGAAUCGCAAAAAACUAUUAGGUCUGAUCUUGAGAAGUUUAGGUAGUAUAUGUAUGGGAUUUUAGUAUCGAUCUUCAUUAACAACAUUGUAAACAAUAAAUAAAUAAAUGAGAAUGACCAAAAUUAUGAUUAAACACGGUUAUGUCGAAAAAACAACAUAAAAAUAAUUUUUCAAAUAACUUUUGAAAUAAAACUCUAAAAAUAACAAUAAUUAUAAGAUUUUAACUAUCAAAACUAUCCUAAAAUUAUCACAUGAUGGACUAUCAUCAGAGCCAAAUAUAACUUAGGCUUAAAUGCAAUUUUAGUUCUCUAUUUUUAAUUUUUUAAAGUUUUAGUUCCUCUAUUUUAAAAAUCAACUUUUUAAUCCUCUAUUUUCAUUUUUUUAUAGUUUUGGUCUCCCUUUCCAUUUUAUCAACGUUAUUUACUGAAUAUUUCAUUUAUUUAAUAUAAUUAUUUAUGAAUUUUUAUUUAUCUCUAUAAAAAUUAAAAACUUUUGUAAGAAUAUUUGUCAAAACAAUUUAUUUUCUCAAAAAUAACUUUUAAAUCGAAAAAGCUGAAAUCAUCAAACAAUUUUAUGUUUAUCUUUAAAGUUUUUAUUUUUAGCAUUAACUUCAAAAUAACUUUUAUGACUAAAAAUAGCUAAGGCAAACACACCCAAAUUAUGUUUAUAAGAUUUUUUUAGUCAUAAAUAUAUAUUAGAAAAAUUAAACACACUUAUUCCGGUACGAGGUACUUUAAUUCCUUUGACUAAAUGGCGUUAUAUUUUUUCUGCACUUUUUUUUUUUUUGUGUGUAAAGAGUUUUANNNNNNNNNNNNNNNNNNNNNNNNNNNNNNNNNNNNNNNNNNNNNNNNNNNNNNNNNNNNNNNNNNNNNNNNCAAAAAAAAAAAAAAAAAAAAAAAAGGAAGUUAAGGGCAAUUAUGGAAUAAUUAAAAAACCAUAAAGGAAGUUAAGGGCAAAAUGGACCAAAAAAAAUCCAGCCCAAACUCUCUUAUCCCCUUUAUAUAUUGUUAUAGAUAAAUUAUUAUAUGACGCUUUUUUUUUUUGUGUGUAAAGAGUUUUAUAUCAUAUAAAUUAUAUAAAUUAUUAUAUGACGCAAAAGUAAAACUAAAAUAGAAUGCGUUUCCUAUCAUGAAUUUCUUCUUUUUCUGGUGGGAUGAGCUAUAUAUCUCUGUUGCAUCACGAUGGAAAGUUGAAUUACUUUAUUUGUUAGGAGGAACCUUGCAUGAUGGUUCCUUAUAUUUACGGGUGUAUAAUAUUACAUUAUUACAUAUAAGAUAAGAUAUAAGUUGUAUGCCUUUCCUAAAAUUGGUACACUUAUAUCAUCUUAUAAAAUUCAAUAAUUGUCACUUUUUCCCUUUUCAUCCUCCAACUAAACAAAGCUAACUACCCUUGUCAAGAAAAUAAACAAAGUUAAUUUAUAUCAUAUCAUUGUAAUUAGUCACAAUGUAAAGUGCGACAUACUCCACAGUCCACACAACAAAAAAGUGCGACAUGUAAAUCUCUUUGAGUUCUCUCUCUCACUUGCACAGCCGCCCCUCUUCCCCAUCAACCCUAGCUUUUUUCUUUUGUUCAUCUACAUUUUUGACCCAAAAUCACCCCUCUAAAUUGUUUUUGCUUUUCAUUUCAUUUAAAUAAGUGAUUAUUCACAUAUAUUUGCUUUUCCGAUUUUUGUUUUUUAAGUUUGUUGUCAUCUUGUGUGGUGUUGUGUUUGUGGUCGUUUUGUGCAGCGUUGUGUUUGUCGUCGUCUUGUGCGACAUUUGUUGGUUUUUCAUUUUAGUACGAUGUUUCGUUGAUUCAAAUUGACAUAUCUACCUCAACUCAUUACAGGUCUGAUGAAAACUUGGACGUCAACGUUGCAGAUUCGGGAGUAUGAAGAUUCCGAUUACUUUUAUUUUGUUAUAUUUGUAGGCAAAUUCAUGAUACCGUUAUAUGCUAUUAAUCUAGGUGCUGCAAGAUUGUUUGUAAAUUCACCUUUUUCAGUUUUUAGCAAUUUUGAAUUUGUAAUGAUCGGUGUAUUUUCAAUUUGAAUGAAUACAUAUUUUUAGUAAAUAAAGACCAUUUUUUUUUGGUUAAUAUAAAGACAAACUUUUUAUCAUCCAAUAAAGUUAUCCUCACAUUACAUCAAUGAUAAUGGCUGCAUGACCCAUUAAAUGAGAAAGCCAAUUAAAUAAAUAAAUAACCGUUAAAAAAAAGUGUUAACGUGUGCUCUAGGCAAGGUUGUGAAAAUCGGACCGGACCAAACCAGUUGGUCGAACUGAUUCAACCGGAAACCGGUGAAAGCAACACAUAUUCCCACAUAAACAGAUCGGUUUUAGAGUAGAAGAAGAAGAUCUUAAAUACCAUGUCCUCUGCUUUUAGUUGUGGACACAUAGCCACUCUCUCCAAUGCUAAACAUGAUAUCAUAAACUAUUGUACCCUUCAAAUACCUGAAAAUUGACUAGACGACUUCCCAAUGACUCUUGGUUUUAACAUAAACUAGCAAACUUGACUUACAACUUGUGUCAAAUCUAUUGUAGUGGAAACCAUAUCCUUUGACAUAUACUCAACUUCUGCAAUUUCCUUCAGACAUUGAUCCAAUGAGAGCUUAAAGUGCUUCGCUAAUGGAGCACUCUCACAACCAUCAAAUUGUUCAUGUCAAAUUUGUCUAACACCUUUUCAAUAUAUCCUUUUUGAAAGAGCCAUAAUUUUAUAGCAUUAAAUCAUUCCUGUAAAUAAUUAACAGCAAUCAACAUAUCAUCAACAUAUAAUAACAGGAAAAUAAAAGAGUCACCAUCAAGGUUCCUAAGGUAAACACAACAAUCACACUCACACCUACUGUAGCUUAUCUGAAACAUGUAUGAAUCAAAGCACUUGUACCACUGCUUUGGUGACUGCUUUAAACCAUAUAAAGACCUCUUCAAUUUGCUCAUCUAGAUUACCGAAAAGAAAUAAUGUUUUCACAUCCAUCUUCUUUAAAUGCAUGUCCUGACAGGCUAUCAGGGCUAACAUUGCCUUGAUGAGUAUGUCCGAUGACAAAAGAGAAAAUAUUAUCAUAGUCAAUCCCCUUACAUUGUGGGUACCUCUUUGCUACAAGUCGAGUCUUAAAUUUUUUCCCUUGUUUUCUGCUAUUGUGAUAAGGCACGACACACAUAGAUAACAUGCACAAACAUUAUGCACAAAUACAUACACAAAUACAAGUCAACCAUACAUUAAUAUUGGAUUAUGAACUUCAAUUAAUUGCCAUUGUAAACAAAUGGGUCUAUAAAAAUUAUUAACAUUUCAUAGCGAAAUUCUUGGAAUAUAAUUAAAGGAAAUUGCUUAAUAGUGCGAGAGUAUGAUUCAUGAAAAUAUGCUAAUGACAUGGUUUGAAAUUGGGAAAAUAAUUGGCAAACUCUUUGACCAAUUUCUCAUCAUAUUUAAAACAGAGGUAACUACUAGACAGUACAAUAAAAUUGAUUCACUCUUUUGUUAGAUUCUUUAUCUGGCUUCACCACUCUCUCACAACAAAGCACACUAUGCUCAAUUGAUCUUUUGUUAGAUUCUUUAUCUGGCUUCACCACUCUCUCACAACAAAGCACACUAUGCUCAAUUGAGUGUAUGCUAAUUUACUUCAUGCUUGGCUCUUUACUUGGCAUAGUCUGUAUAUUGACUUAGCAACAAUGUUGGUUUGACAACUUCUCUGUUGACGUAUAAUUGUCUCUAUUGAUCCAUUGUGUAAACUGCAUAAUGUAACCCAUGAGUUUUCCUUCAAUGUCCUAAAAAGGCGUUUUCUAGUGAUCUGAUCAUUGAAAUAUACACUUUAUGAAUACUGUUCCAUCGUAGAGCUGUUAAAAUCUAUGCACAUUUGAAAAUCUCCAUUAUAUAUGAUGUAAAAAUGCAUUACUCUCACUGCAUUAUAAUGUUGUGAUUGAUGAUAGUAGUGCAAGGUGAAACAGACUAAGCAUGGCUACUAACUAGAACACUCAAAUCUCUAAAACACAACCAAAUAACCAAACUAAGAGCAACACAGUUCCAUUUAAGUUUAACCAUGACAAAGAAAUCCAAAUCAGAAAAAGCAAUGCUCAUACUAAACCAAUUAUAGCAACAUAAAUUAACGAUCAGGCCUAUGCAAUUCAAUUGAAUCAUAUAAACUAUAAUAUAUUGUAUCAACCACAAAAUAUAGUUCAAUCAUACCUCAUUAUCAUUUGGAGCAUGCGUUGAUGAAGAAAAAUACCAUGUUUUCUCUUAUAACAACAAAGACUUUAUUCCCUGUUCGAUGUCUAAAUUUCAGUUGAGCUAUAUUUUGGGCAUUUUGAUGACUUACUUUCUAUAUUCAGCGAAACAUAAAUUUUUUUAACAUUCCAAAUUUGGUUUCCUUUGGUGUAUGCAUAAUCUAGAAAAAAACCAAGAUCAUUUUGGUACUCAUCAGUCUCUCUAUCCAAUUUUAUCCAUUACUUGUCCAUUGGGUUUACGAGGAGACUACUGUAUAUAUGGAAAAUAAUUUCAAAGGAAGUUAGUACAUGUUUGAUAAAAAUGUAAAGGCUCCCAUAGAGGCUCUUAUUUAUAAAACCCUAUACUUUGUUGUACCUAUUUAGACAUAGUAUUCCUAAUUAUACAGUCAGUUUCACUUUCAGUUUCAAAUUGGGAGGUUAGGUUAGGCACACACAUUUAGUGUCAAAUAAAAAUAUUGGGUGGUUAGGCUAACAUAUGACAAUCAUAUACUUAAAUAGAUAAAUUAUUUUUCUGAAGUACUAUUUAAAAUUUCACUUGCAUCUAUGCAGGUUUAUGACUAUUGAACAAUGGAACAUACCUUCGUGAAGAGUACUCUCUCUUANNNNNNNNNNNNNNNNNNNNAAAAAAAAAAAAAACUAAAUUUCUACCCUUUUCACCUCCCAUAUAAGAUUUGAAAAUGAAUAGAAGAGUCAGUACCUUGCAAGAAUAGAUGUCGGAAAGAAUAGCUUUUUGUCGAGACGAGACGAAGAGGGGAGAAGAAUCUGAGUUUGUGAGCACAGUCAACACAACAACGAACAUAUUAGGGAGAAAAAUCUGAGCUCAAUCAGGGAUUUUGUGACUCAAAAUUUUACUGAAUUGGGAUUUUGGGGAUGAAUCAGUUUGAGAAGAAGAAGGAUAAGAAAAUAUACGGGCUGUUUAUUUGAGAUUUCAAUAAAAUUAUAUAUUUUUUUAAAAUUAUUUUCAAGAAAAUCAUUUUUUUUUACAGAUUUUGGAAAAAAUUUAAAGUUGUUUACCAUCAUUAAAAUCUAUUUAUUUUUUUUAAGAUGGUGAGUGAUGAUGAACGAUAAAAAAAAUGGAUUUUGAUAAAAGCUAUUGAAAAUAGAUUCUCAUUUUAAUGAAAAAAAUAUUUUUUUUAUUAAAAUAUUUUUUGAAAAAAUUUGAAACAAACACAAGUAAGAUAAAAUAAUAGAUUUUUUUUACGUAAAGUAACGCUUCUUUGGGAAGAAGUUUCUUUUAUUUAUUUUGUUUUCAAAAUUUCACAAACAAACAACAAAACAGUUGUUUACGUAGGAAUUUGGUAAACAACCACUAGUUUAAGUAUUUAAACUCGAGAGAUCAACUAGUAAAUCUCAGGACAAUUUUGUGUUUUGUUUACUUAGAAAAAUGUUUGAGUGUUCGUCUAAAAAAUAUAACAAACACUUAAGAAUUAAAUCUUGCGCAAACAAUAAAAGAAAAAGCUAGUUUGAAUCGCCUCGAAAUAGCAGUUUCAUGAACAGACAUCAAAUAANNNNNNNNNNNNNNNNNNNNNNNNNNNNNNNNNNNNNNNNNNNNNNNNNNNNNNNNNNNNNNNNNNNNNNNNNNNNNNNNNNNNNNNNNNNNNNNNNAUACAUCUUCUCUUCAAGAUUCCUUUCGUUCGAUCGCUGAGUACUUAGAAUUUUCAGACAAAAUUUUAUACAAAACUUUCUCUGAAAAUUCUAAGCACUCAGCGAUCGAACGAAAGGAAUCUUGAAGAGAAGAUGUAUGUUUUGUGAACCAUUUAGUUUGUAAUUGCUUUUCAUUCAAUGCAAUUUACUUUUCAGCAAUGUUCUUUAGUUUUAUUUGAUGUCUGUUCAUGAAACUGUUGUAUCGAGGCGAUUCGAACUAGCUUUUUCUUUUAUUGUUUGCGCAAGAUUUAAUUCUUAAGUGUUUGUUAUACUUUUUAGACGAACACUCAAACGUUUUUCUAAGUAAACAAAACACAAUAUUGUCUUGAGAUUUACUAGUUGAUCUCUCGAGUUUAAAUACGUAAACUAGCGGUUGUUUACCAAAUUCCUACGUAAACAACAGUAUAAUGAAAAGAAAAUAAAAUAAUAUAUAUAUAUAUAUAUAUAUAUAUAUAUAUAUAUAUNNNNNNUUUUUCCAGUACUCCUAUUUUUUUUCCGUUUUUUCCGUAAUACCCAUGUUUUGAAAAAUAUUGUCGUAAUACCCCUAUUUUAGGACAAAAACUGAAAAUAUCGCUAUGUGCAAGGUGAUGGCGGAAAUGGCAGUUCCGCCAUUGAUCUGGGCCGUUUGAUUAAUCAAACGAUUGGGAGAGUGAAGGUGCACGGUAGGCUUGAACAGGAUCAGGUGCUAUAAAUACACAAAACUUCUCAAAAAUAUCAUUUUUCUCUUUUCUUUCUCUCUCUUCUCUUUCUCACUUUCACGCUCUCUCUUCUUUUCUCUGACUCCAUCAAAUGUUCAUCACCAAACCAGAAGCCACCACUCCGGCCGCCGCCCACCACCACCUGAACCCUAAAAACCCCAAAAAAAAUAAUCCCCAAAUCACCUUUAAAAACACUUGUUUAACAGUUUUAAACUCAAAUCAAACCCAAGAACACCAAAUCUAAACAAACAAAACUAAACCCCAAAAACCAAAAAAAAUAUUGUUUCUAAUUCUUCUUUUUCUAGAACUGAAAAAUUGAAAGAAACUCAAAUCAACAACGAUCAAAAUUUCAAUUUUGUAUCCUUCUCAAAUCUGCAAUCAAGACCUCUUUUUGAGUCCAAUGUUAUAAAAAUCGGACCGGACCGGCCGGUUCGACCGGUUCGGCCGUGAACCGGACACAGCACCGGUCCGGAACAAGUACCAGACCCGCUANNNNNNNNNNNNNNNNNNNNNNNNNNNNNNNNNNNNNNNNNNNNNNNNNNNNAAAAAAAAAAAAUUCUAUUUUCAAACUAGGGUAGAGUUAUUUUUUUCACUAGAACAUAAGUGUCAAACAGAAACAUGAAAAUGCCACUGUUAUUUGUUAUAAGAAAAAGAAGAAGAAAAAAUACACGGAUGAAUUUGAGAAAUUAAGGAAUAGAUCUGUUGUAGUUACACAAUAGUUUUUUAUUUCUUGAUGGUCAUACAUAAGAAAUGAAUGAAACAGAUCUGAGUAAGAGAGAAAAAGAAGAAACAAGAAAAUAAGAAGAAAAAGAAAGAAAUUACGUGAUAGAAGAAGAUAGAAAGUGGAGUGGAGGAUGCUCACUAAUAGGAAUGAGAUGAUAUUUCAAUUCUAGGGUUUAGCUUAUAAUUGAGUUUUUGGGUCAAUACAACUUGAUAAAAUAAUGGCCCAAUAUAUUAUAAAAUAAAACUAACUUUCUUUUUUACUAUGUAAAAAAAAAAUAAAAAUCAAAUUAUUGAGUCUAAAAUUAUUAUUUAUUCUUCAGCAUUAUAUUUAUUUUUAAUUAUUCGGUUCAAUAACGGUUUAAUAGCGGUUCAACCGAUUGAACCGGUUGAACCAUGAACCGGAGCUCUCACCGGUUCGAUCUCCGGUCCGGUUUUUAAAAUAUUGUUUGAGUCAUAUCAGUGCAUGGUGUGGGAGCUUUUGUUUUGUUUCUCUGUGUUUUUUUCGGCCUGCUUCUUUGGGUUGUUAGUGUUGUUGUUUUUUUUUUCUUCUUUUGUUUUGUCUCCCUCUCAGAUCUGUGUUUUUUUCUUUGUGUUGCAGUUCAAAACCAAAACCUCCUUUUACUUCUUGGAUCGAUGGGUUUUUAUAUGGUCGUCUGUUUUUUAUGAUGGUGAUGAUGGUAUUAAUUUUUUUAAAAAAAAACAAAAAAAUGCCAUUUUUGGCAUAANNNNNNNNNNNNNNNNNNNNNNNNNNNNNNNNNNNNNNNNNNNNNNNNNNNNNNNNNNNNNNNNNNNNNNNNNNNNNNNNNNNNNNNNNNNNNNNNNNNNNNNNNNNNNNNNNNNNNNNNNNNNNNNNNNNNNNNNNNNNNNNNNNNNNNNAAAAAAAAAAAGUCUUGGUCAAUGGCGGAACUGCCAUUUCCACCAUCACCCUGCACAUGUCGACGUUGUCAGUUCCGCCAUCAAUGGGGAACUGCAACGCGUCAGGUUUUGUUCCAGAAGAAGGGGUAUUACGACAAUAUUUUCAAAACAGGGUAUUACGGAAAAAACGGAAAAAAUAGGGGGUACUGGGAAAAAAAUCGAGAGAAAUGCAUCAGAUAAGAAAGGGAAAUCUGUAUAUAAGAAAGGGAAAUCAUAGAUAAGAAAUGCAUCAUGGUAUCACUAUUUAAAAUAAGAGACAUACUGUCAUAGACAAUACAGGGUACAUAUUUCUAAUUUUAUAAAUAGAAAACUGAAAAUUCAAAAAAUGGAAAAAAGGUAAACUCUUUAGCACAAAACCGAUGCCUUUGAUAUAAUAUAUGUGGGCUUCGGAUUUGGAAUAAUUAUUACGUGGUAAUUAAUAGAAAAUGAAUGUAACGAAUUUGUUUUGGUUAGAAAUGGGGAUGUCAACGCAGACACGAUCCAACUUUUACUACUCUCAAAGUGACAAAAGAGAUUGAAGGGUGUUCUCAGGAACCCGGAAGCAAUCGAAAAAAUAACACUAUCUACAUUGGUUAAAACAUCGAGAAGGGUGGAUCAAGUUCAACUGUGAUGGAUCUCAAAAUGAUAGGGUGGCCCUUGUUGGGUGCAUGGGUUUGUUAAGGGACUCGAAUGGCAAGUGGAUCAAGGGCUACUCUCGAAAAAUUGGAUCUUGUGAUGUGUUUCACGCAGAGAUAUAGCGCAUGUACUUAGGAAUGUACCUUGCUUGGAGGCAGGGAAUCACUCAUCUCCAUGUUGAAAAUGAUUCUAAAGUGUAGAUAGAUAUGGUGAUUGAUAGAGUUAAGUUCAAUGGAAGCACCCCACUUUGGUGUUUCGCAUUAAUAGAAGCGUAGAUUGACUUGCUAAUUUUAGUUACUCUCUUGAUUCUUUUGAUAUUCAUGUUUUGGAGACUCCUCCUCGAGAGCUGCAAAAUAUGCUUUUUGACGACAUAUGGCUUGCAUGUCUAGGAAUGUUCGUGUAACUCUGUAAUUUUUUUUCUUUUGGGUUUUGCCCCUUUAUUUCACAAAAAAAAAAAGGAAAGAAAUAGGGGUGUUAAUUGUAUCUAUAAAUGGGAUUUCUGUGAGGUUUGACCCACGGAAACUCAGUCCCCGAACAUUUUAUUAAAAUAACAUUAAUAUGUAUGUAUAUAUUCAAUAUUUUAUAUAUUACGUUUAUUUAUAUUUUCACGUUCAUUGUUAUACGAAAUGUCACAAUAAUGUCUAAUAUUUUUGUUUAGUUUACACUUGAACUUUUUAGGCUAGUUUGAUUGAAGAUAUCAAAAUUUUGAUAUUUUAAUGUUGAUGGAUCCUCGCAAGAACUAUGAAGAUCCGCAGAUAUGAGAAUAAAAUACUCCCUUAAGUGGGGAAUAAAAAUAUGAAACACUUUAGAUGGUUGAGAGGGGAGUGGGAAAGUACCCUCCACUUAAUCUCCGCUCAAUUGACAUCCCUAAUUAGAAAUGUAUAAAUAUUAUGUUUUGGUAAAAAGCAGAAAACAAACGUGAUGAACUUUUUUAGUAAAAAAAAAAAUGUGAUGAACUUUUGUUGUUUAAUUGAGAAUAAAAUUUAUGAAUAAAAUAUUUUUAUUUUUCAAUAACCAUUUUUUUAAAAGAAAAUGUAAUCCAUAAAUGUUUGUAAAAUAUGCACAAAUACCUCAAAACUCGUGAAUUACCCGUUUAACUCAUACACGUACGAAAGUAAUGUGGACAAGGGUAUUAUAUUUGAGUUGGUUAGUUGGACAUGCUCUUUGUUGGUGUAAAUUUUUUUAGACAGAAGUCCAAUGAAAAUCUAUUAUUCCUCCACAUCAUACCAUUAAAUUGGGGUGUAGUGGAGUGAUUCGACGGAAUACAUGGUUGAAAUUGGAUGGCAAUGUAAAAUUAUUUUCCAAUGUCAGUGCAUAUCCCUUUUCUCAUCUAUCGGUGUAAAUUACUUCUACACAGAAGUCCAAUGAAAAUCUGUUAUUCCUCCACAUCAUACCAUUAAAGUAUGGUGUAGUGAAGUGAUUUGGCAUAAUACAUGGUUGCUAUUAGAUGACAGUGUAAGAUUAUUUUACACCGUCAAUGCAUGCCGUAUUUUCUCAUUAUAUUUACAGUUUAAUGGAGAUGGAUUGACAGUGUAAAAUAGUUUUACACGAUCAUCAAAUAAAAAAUGAUCAACUUGCCAUGUCAAAUCAAAAAAGAGGUGUGAAGUAGGCUGAUGUGGCAGAAAAAAUGGUUAUUAUUAGUUGAGAUUGUGAAAUUAUUUUACACGGUCGGUGCAUAGGGUGUAUAGUGUGGACACAAAUAUCAUACUAACUAUGUUGAUGUACCCAUUUAUAACCUAAGUGAAAGUUAACUAUGCUAUUGAGUACCCAUUUAUAUCCUAAGUGAAAGUUAACUAUGUUAUUGAAUCAUGUUAUGGUUGCAAUUUGCAAAUGCUGCUUACGGUGUCAACAAACAAAUAGAAACUACCCACUGGUAUGUGGAUAUAUAAUUCUUCUACCCAAUACAAUAAAUCAGAUAUCUCGAAGUACAAAUUGAAUAACAAGACAGUAUAACCGAUAAAACAGAAAAAUCAGUUAAAUGGUUGAAGUUAUCAAUCAAUUCUUCUUCUAUUUCAGUAAUAAACUAUUCCAGAUGUAUGAUAUGAUAAUUCCUUAUAAAUGAUAAAUGCUUACAAUCAAAAGCUUGAAGAAUGUGAUGAACCAAGGCAAUAAGUGAGCUAAACUAUGAUAAAGCACCAAACUAACAGCAUCCCUAGCAAUAUUUAAUAAUGGUCUAUCUCAAGUCAACAUAAGAUCAUUCCCUCCCAGAUGAGAGCGAAGACAAACACGGACUUCAUGUUCUUCUGGCCCAACGCGGUGUUUUGGCACCAUGAUCUCUAGCACCGAUCCUGGCUCAUCAUAGUAUGCUUCCAGAUUGGCAUCUUCAGGAAUUCUGGUUGAAAGAGAAAUUUCACGGACAAACUCCCCAGGGGGGCAGUGCUCUGAGGAUGCAUCUGUAAGCUUGAAUGUCCUAUCGCGUCUCUUGAUGAAAGGCUUUCGAGAUGUGCUCAUACAAGAAACCUUGAUGAUACCAUGAGUCAAAGUGUUCCUCCAUGAAACUUUCACACUUGCAAGGUCUACAAAGGGCAGACUGAUAAUAAUCAAGUAACCUUGUUCAUCCUCAUAGAUAGUUUUUGCAGCUGUAACCGGUCCGUAAACAUUUUUUAUCACGCCGCUGAAGUCAUUCAACCAGUGAGGUUCACUUGGGUGCAUUUCUAUAUCUUGGACCCGAUCAGAUGGAGGAUUAACAGCAAGGUAACAUUCAUCUUCGUUUCCGUUUACAUUUCCAUUCCCGUUUCCAUGAGGGAAAAAGUCUUUCCUCUUUUUUCCGUUGGUAGUAGAUAGGUCCAAUAAAUCACCGUUGGUGUGGUUAGACAGAGGAGUUGACAAAUUCAGUCCAGAUCCAUUAAGCAGCUUCUUUGGGUGUCCAUUUGCAGCACUCUUGAUUGAAGGAAGAGGUCUCUCAAGCUCAAAGUCAGUGUUGGGAAGAUUUCUCCAUGAACUGAAAUCACUUGCUUCAGUUGGGACUGUGAAAUUCAAAUCUCGGCCGGUGAGUUCAAUCCACCUUUUACGAUCAUCCUCAUCAAGAUUCAUCAGAUUGGGUGAAGGAAAAACCUCAAUGCCAUGCACACAUUGGGGGUUUGAAAGUCCUCUAUAAUGCUUCCUUUGCAUCCGGUGAGAUCGAACAAAACCUUUGUCAACACUAAAAGGAAACGGGCGCUCCCCUUGGCGAGAAUGGCCAUUCAUGUAACUCCUCAAUUGCAUCUUACCCAAAGCAUUUUCAGGCCUCUCCUUGAAAACCCACAUGUACAUAUUUUCCAUGUCAUGCUGAACCAUGAAAACAUCAAGAUUGAGAUCAGAUUUCUCAAAACCAGAAAUGCCAUUGCUGUCCCUGACAAUCUUGGCCUUAGAUUUAUCAUUCAACGCCGGCUUAAAGUAAAAACUAAAGAAAAACCAAGCACCCCAUAUGCUAUCAAUUCGCUUAGCACAUUUCCUUCCAACUUUGGACAGAGUGAGAAAAGUCUCGGUAUCAUACCCUUGAGUACCAAGACCAACAUCCAAAAUAUCACAAGGGUCAGAAAUCCAUGACUGUGGCGGAGGUGGGCUACGUUCGGCAGAAAGAGGCAAAUUAAUAUCGGGCGGACGAGAAAGUCUGAUUUGUCGAUUCAUCUCCAAGUCAAUUUCCUCAGGAGAAGAUGCACUUGAAUCCAUGGACAAUAGCGUAGAAGGGUGAUGAUUCUCCAUUGACAAAGAAGCAAAACAGGAAUCGCCAAUGCUACCUCAUCAUCAUCAUCAUCUUGUUGAUGAGUUUCAUUGCUGGUUGAUACAAUAUUGCCAUCCCAAAAAUAAUUCAACAAAAUGGUAACAUACUUAUAAACAACUUCAUCAUCAUCAUAUCAAUCCCCACUAUAUCUCCCUUCCAUCAAACCCCUAUAUUUAUCAAUUCAAUUUGUGAGGAAACAAAAAACAAAUAAAAAAAAUCAACAAACCCAAACUAUGUAAAAUA